CCUACGGGAGGCAGCAGUGGGGAAUAUUGGACAAUGGGCGGCAAGCCUGAUCCAGACCAUACCGCGUGGGUGAAGAAGGCCUUCGGGUUGUAAAGCCCUUUUGUUGGGAAAGAAAAGCAGCGGGCUAAUACCUUGCUGUUCUGACGGUACCACAGAGAAUAAGCACCGGCUAACUUCGUGCCAGCAGCCGCGGUAAUACGAAGGGUGCAAGCGUUACUCGGAAUUACUGGGCGUAAAGCGUGCGUAGGUGGUUGUUUAAGUCUGUUGUGAAAGCCCUGGGCUCAACCUGGGAACUGCAGUGGAAACUGGAUGACUAGAGUGUGGUAGAGGGUAGCGGAAUUCCCGGUGUAGCAGUGAAAUGCGUAGAGAUCGGGAGGAACAUCCAUGGCGAAGGCAGCUACCUGGACCAACACUGACACUGAGGCACGAAAGCGUGGGGAGCAAUCAGGAUAGAUACCCUGGUAGUCCACCCCCUAAACG
Molecule: ribosomal RNA, 480 nt
Filed under: Stenotrophomonas sp. APH6
Lineage: Bacteria; Pseudomonadati; Pseudomonadota; Gammaproteobacteria; Lysobacterales; Lysobacteraceae
Description: bacterial SSU rRNA
Rfam family: Bacterial small subunit ribosomal RNA
Source: RNAcentral